This 321-nucleotide ribosomal RNA is filed under the name uncultured eukaryote. Its description in RNAcentral is "partial 18S ribosomal RNA". It matches the Rfam family "Eukaryotic small subunit ribosomal RNA", at positions 1470 to 1796 of the family's 1831-position model. The record is from RNAcentral.
CCCUUAGAUGUUCUGGGCCGCACGCGCGCUACACUGACUGGUGCAACAAGUGUCUGACCUUGGCCGAUAGGUCUGGGUAAUCUUUGAACGCUGUUCGUGAUUGGGAUAGACCUUUGCAAUUAUGGGUCUUCAACGAGGAAUUCCUAGUAAACGCAAGUCAUCAGCUUGCAUUGAUUACGUCCCUGCCCUUUGUACACACCGCCCGUCGCACCUACCGAUUGAAUGGUCCGGUGAAAUCUCGGGACGGCGGCUUGGUCGCUUGCGUCCGACUGCUGAAACUUGAUUAAACCAUAUCAUUUAGAGGAAGGUGAAGUCGUAACA